Molecule: ribosomal RNA, 823 nt
Filed under: uncultured beta proteobacterium
Lineage: Bacteria; Pseudomonadati; Pseudomonadota; Betaproteobacteria
Description: bacterial SSU rRNA
Rfam family: Bacterial small subunit ribosomal RNA
Source: RNAcentral
GGCGGCAUGCUUUACACAUGCAAGUCGAACGGCAGCGCGGACUUCGGUCUGGCGGCGAGUGGCGAACGGGUGAGUAAUAUAUCGGAACGUACCCAGGAGUGGGGGAUAACGUAGCGAAAGUUACGCUAAUACCGCAUACGUCCCAAGGGAGAAAGCGGGGGAUCGCAAGACCUCGUGCUCAUGGAGCGGCCAAUAUCUGAUUAGCUAGUUGGUGGGGUAAAGGCCCACCAAGGCAACGAUCAGUAGCUGGUCUGAGAGGACGACCAGCCACACUGGAACUGAGACACGGUCCAGACUCCUACGGGAGGCAGCAGUGGGGAAUUUUGGACAAUGGGGGCAACCCUGAUCCAGCAAUGCCGCGUGAGUGAAGAAGGCCCUCGGGUUGUAAAGCUCUUUUGUCAGGGAAGAAAAGGUUGAGGCUAAUAUCCUCGGCUCAUGACGGUACCUGAAGAAUAAGCACCGGCUAACUACGUGCCAGCAGCCGCGGUAAUACGUAGGGUGCAAGCGUUAAUCGGAAUUACUGGGCGUAAAGCGUGCGCAGGCGGUUUUGUAAGACUGUCGUGAAAUCCCCGGGCUUAACCUGGGAAUGGCGAUGGUGACUGCAAGGCUAGAGUUUGGCAGAGGGGGGUAGAAUUCCACGUGUAGCAGUGAAAUGCGUAGAUAUGUGGAGGAACACCGAUGGCGAAGGCAGCCCCCUGGGUCAAAACUGACGCUCAUGCACGAAAGCGUGGGGAGCAAACAGGAUUAGAUACCCUGGUAGUCCACGCCCUAAACGAUGUCUACUAGUUGUCGGGUCUUAAUUGACUUGGUAACGCAGCUAACG